GGGGGCAUAUUUACUCCCAUGACCGAGGAUACAAUGUCAAAUAGCAUUGCCUCAGACCUGGGCAGUCUCUUUGGGGCCAAAGUUCUCCUCAGGUGCUGGGAAAACAAGGUAAGAAACUCCAAAGCCAACGCUGGCCACUGUGUGUGAGAAGAUGCCCAGCUUCCAGAAAUCCUAGCACUCUGCUGGCAAAGGCCCCGCAGUAGGAUUCUUCCAGGCUUGUUUGAUGAUUUUCAUGGCAGGGAGUCUAGGCGAGCAGACUAAUUCAAUUGUUGUAUAACUGUUUAAACACACAGAAAAAAGAAUCUUGACAAAACCCUCUUAGUUGGACUUCACAACACUGUGAAGCACAAACUGCCCCAAGGGCAGCGUUGUCUGCCCCACCUGCUAGAUUCCCCUUCCCAUCUCAUCAAGGCGGGGCAAAAACCACUACAGUUGUCACCUCUCUUCUCUCCCUUUGGUAUGCUGUAUUAAUUGCUUUUAACGGGAGCUUUCUCUGAAGUUCGGAUAUGUGAAGGUCCAAGAGGCCUGUACUAUACCAUUCCUUGAGCUCAGGACACAGUUCCUGAUGUGGCUCAGAAAAUAUACUAGACCCUACAGUUUGCUAGGAAAAAAAAUCUAGGUUAUCAAUUUCCCCCAGAUAAUAAUCUCAGUUUUUCCUACAACAGAUACAGGGCCUAUUUUUAUUAAAGAAUGAGAAUUACAAAAUGGGAAAUUGAGAAAGAAACUUAGAGAUCACCCAUCCUAGACCAAGGGUCUCACUUUACAGAAGGCAAAGAUGAGGCCAGAAAAGAGAGGUGACUUGCCUGAGGUCACACAGCUGGUUGGUGGAAGAUUCUGGGCUGAAAUCCAGUUACCCUGAUUACCAGGUGAAGACAGUCCCAUUCACCUCAGUUUAAAGCGUUGUGUAGAAGCCAGUUAAUUUUUUUCCAAUAAAGUCUGCAUGUCUCUAUUUGUGAAUGUGGGUGAGAAUACGAGGCCCUAGAAGAGGUACAAUAUCUCUGGAAUUUACCAAUGCUUGGCAGGUGGCAGGUACAUGCUAAGAAAAUAUUUAUUGAAUGAAUGGAUGGGACCUGUGGGAACGCAGAGAAAGGGAGUGGAUAUAUGCCUAAUAUUACCCAUGAUUCAAGACUCAACAAAAGCAGACAAAUCAGGGACAUACAGAUAUCAGGAGUAUGUUUCUCCACUGGGUAUGAAGCCUGAGUGAGAGAAGGGAGUAUCUAUUUAUAAGUGAUGUCUGAAAGCAUCAGGUGUGCUGAGUCCAGUCUGUGAUCCCAGGAUUGGACUUAACUUCCUUGGGCUCCAUUUCCUAAUAUUCCUUAACAUUAAGUAACUAGAGUGUAUCUCCCAGAUUGUCCCAGAUCUAUGUCAGGCCACAGGCCUCAAGGAGGGAAUGGAUUUCAUAGGAAAGUCAUCUUACCUUGUGAUGGUGUGCUCUUUGGGUGGUAGGUCCCCGUAGUGGAUAGAAGGCCAGCAUUUCCACCUCUUAGCCUCUAACACAUCUACUCCCAAUCCCAAGCUUCAUUUCUCCCUUUCCUUUGUUCACAAGAGUUCAUUCUCUGGACUGAUAACUUGGAAGAGAGAUGCAGGAUUCAGGUUUGAAUUGCUUGUAUCUCAUGAAACAAUCUUGGUAUAACAAGUGAACUAUUUAAAUUCUUAGCACCUAUCUGGCCAUUUAUUUCAUUUCAUAUACCAGUCCAUAUCCGGUAACAAAGUAUUGAAAUCCUGUAAA
Molecule: long non-coding RNA, 1729 nt
Filed under: Macaca fascicularis (crab-eating macaque)
Lineage: Eukaryota; Metazoa; Chordata; Mammalia; Primates; Cercopithecidae
Description: lncRNA (ENSMFAG00000049461.1)
Source: RNAcentral